CUUUUCAAAUAUAUUCUGACAUUCUGAAAUGUAUUUGCCAGUACAGUUUGUGAAAAGCAGCAUGAACUAGAACUUAGUUAUGAGAUACUAGAGGAAGCUUGAUGUUGAAACUUUUCUUCUGCAGCCUGCAGUGUCGGAUAUUGUGGAGGGACAGGAAGUUGUCAGAGCUCAAUGCUUCAGAUCCAUGAAGAAAAAUGAGGAACCGCACAAGCUGCAGAUAUCACUGGAUGUUGGAAAAGAAAAGGCUGAAUUAUUGGAUUAUUCCUGUAGCUGUGCAGCUGGUAAAGGUUUUUGCAAUCAUGUAGUUGAACUUCUUUACCAAACUGCACACUAAUCCCAACUCCAGCUGCCAACUGAUCCUCCUGCACAACUGAUUUACUAAGAUGGUACAAACCAAGAACACAGGACCACUUCCAGAUCCUGACAUUCUGGCAUCAGGAGAAAAACUACGCCAGCUGGAGUCCCAAAAACGUAUGGCUCUUGUCCUGGAUG
Molecule: long non-coding RNA, 492 nt
Organism: Xiphophorus couchianus (Monterrey platyfish)
Lineage: Eukaryota; Metazoa; Chordata; Actinopteri; Cyprinodontiformes; Poeciliidae
Exons: 3
Source: RefSeq, a predicted model, not a curated record